Molecule: ribosomal RNA, 503 nt
Filed under: uncultured bacterium
Lineage: Bacteria
Description: partial 16S ribosomal RNA
Rfam family: Bacterial small subunit ribosomal RNA
Source: RNAcentral
AUUGAACGCUGGCGGCAGGCUUAACACAUGCAAGUCGAGCGGGGUGAUGGUGCUUGCACUAUCACUUAGCGGCGGACGGGUGAGUAAUGCUUAGGAAUCUGCCUAUUAGUGGGGGACAACAUCUCGAAAGGGAUGCUAAUACCGCAUACGUCCUACGGGAGAAAGCAGGGGAUCACUUGUGACCUUGCGCUAAUAGAUGAGCCUAAGUCGGAUUAGCUAGUUGGUGGGGGAAAGGCCUACCAAGGCGACGAUCGGUAGCGGGUCUGAGAGGAUGAUCCGCCACACUGGGACUGGAACACGGCCCAGACUCCUUCGGGAGGCAGCAGUGGGGAAUAUUGGACAAUGGGGGGAAACCUGAUCCAGCCAUGACGCGUGUGUGAAGAAAGCCUUAUGGUUGUAAAGCACUUUGAGCGAGGAGGAGGCUGUUUUGGUUAAUAACCAAGAUGAGUGGACGUUACUCGCAGAAUAAGCACCGGCUAACUCUGUGCCAGCCGCCGCGGUAA